UACGUAGGGGGCUAGCGUUGUCCGGAUUUAUUGGGCGUAAAGAGCGUGUAGGCGGCCAGGUAGGUCUGCUGUGAAAACUCGAGGCUUAACCUCGAGAUGUCGGCGGAAACCAUCUGGCUAGAGUCCGGAAGAGGAGAGUGGAAUUCCUGGUGUAGCGGUGAAAUGCGCAGAUAUCAGGAGGAACACCUGCGGUGUAGACGGCUUACUGGACCAUAACUGACGCUGAGGCACGAAAGCGUGGGUAGCAAACAGG
This 253-nucleotide ribosomal RNA is filed under the name uncultured bacterium. RNAcentral's name for it is "partial 16S ribosomal RNA". It matches the Rfam family "Bacterial small subunit ribosomal RNA", at positions 524 to 776 of the family's 1533-position model. The record is from RNAcentral.